This 1472-nucleotide ribosomal RNA is filed under the name metagenome. Its description in RNAcentral is "bacterial SSU rRNA". It matches the Rfam family "Bacterial small subunit ribosomal RNA". The record is from RNAcentral.
AGAGUUUGAUUCUGGCUCAGAUUGAACGCUGGCGGCAUGGUUAAAACAUGCAAGUCGAACGCCCCGCAAGGGGAGUGGCGGAAGGGCGAGUAACGCGUAUCUAACGUACCCACGAGUGGGGGAUAGCUUCGGGAAACCGGAGGUAAUACCCCAUGACACCACCGGGAGGCUUCUCUUGGUGGUCAAAGGCUUGCUGCUCGUGGAGCGGGAUGCGUCCUAUCAGGUAGUUGGUGAGGUAAUGGCUCACCAAGCCUAAGACGGGUAGCGGGUGUGAGAGCACGGCCCGCCGCAUCGGAACUGAGACACUGUCCGGACUCCUACGGGAGGCUGCAGUAACGAAUAUUCCGCAAUGCACGCAAGUGUGACGGAGCAAUGCCGCGUGUGGGAUGAAGCAUUUCGGUGUGUAAACCACUGUCAGGGCCUAGGAAAUAUGACCAGGCCCAAAGGAAGAGACGGCUAACUCUGUGCCAGCAGCCGCGGUAAUACAGAGGUCUCAGGCGUUAAUCGGAAUUACUGGGCUUAAAGGGUCCGCAGGCGGACCAGCAAGUACCUUGUGAAAUCUCAGGUCUCAACCCUGAGUCUGCUAGGUAGACUGCUGGUCUUGAGUCAAAAGGGGUCGCUGGAACUCUAGGUGGAGCGGUGAAAUGCGUAGAUAUCUAGAGGAACGCCAAAGGUGAAGACAGGCGACUGGUUUGCAACUGACGCUCAUGGACGAAAGCGUGGGGAUCAAACGGGAUUAGAUACCCCGGUAGUCCACGCCCUAAACAAUGUACACUUGGUUGCGGGAGCUUUGACGCUUUCGUGGCCGGAACUAAAGUGUUAAGUGUACCGCCUGGGGAGUACGGCCGCAAGGCUAAAACUCAAAGAAAUUGACGGGGGCUCACACAAGCGGUGGAGCAUGUGGCUUAAUUCGACGCGCAGAACCUUACCAGGGCUUGACAUGUACGGAUUAGUGGGGUGAAAGCCUCAUGACGCUCGCAAGAGUGGAACGUACACAGGUGCUGCAUGGCUGUCGUCAGCUCGUGCUGUGAAGUGUCGCGUUAAGUCGCUUAACGAGCGAAACCCUUAUCCUUAGUUGCCAGCGGGUCAUGCCGGGAGCUCUAGGGAGACUGCCGGUGUUAAACCGGAGGAAGGUGGGGAUGACGUCAAGUCCUCAUGGCCUUUAUGCCCUGGGUUGCACACGUGCUUCAAUGGCGUAUACAAAGCGACGCAAGCCAGCGAUGGCAAGCAAAUCGCCUAAAGUACGCCCCAGUUCAGAUCGCAGGCUGCAACCCGCCUGCGUAAAGUUGGAAUCGCUAGUAAUCGCGGAUCAGCUACGCCGCGGUGAAUAUGUUCCUGAGCCUUGUACACACCGCCCGUCACGUCAUGGGAGCCGGUAGUACCCGAAGUGGCCACAUUUCAGUGGUCCCUACGGUAAGAUCGGCGACUGGGACGAAGUCGUAACAAGGUAGCCGUAGGGGAACCUGCGGCUG